This 775-nucleotide ribosomal RNA is filed under the name Shigella flexneri. RNAcentral describes it as "bacterial SSU rRNA". It matches the Rfam family "Bacterial small subunit ribosomal RNA", at positions 770 to 1533 of the family's 1533-position model. Lineage: Bacteria; Pseudomonadati; Pseudomonadota; Gammaproteobacteria; Enterobacterales; Enterobacteriaceae. The record is from RNAcentral.
AAACAGGAUUAGAUACCCUGGUAGUCCACGCCGUAAACGAUGUCGACUUGGAGGUUGUGCCCUUGAGGCGUGGCUUCCGGAGCUAACGCGUUAAGUCGACCGCCUGGGGAGUACGGCCGCAAGGUUAAAACUCAAAUGAAUUGACGGGGGCCCGCACAAGCGGUGGAGCAUGUGGUUUAAUUCGAUGCAACGCGAAGAACCUUACCUGGUCUUGACAUCCACGGAAGUUUUCAGAGAUGAGAAUGUGCCUUCGGGAACCGUGAGACAGGUGCUGCAUGGCUGUCGUCAGCUCGUGUUGUGAAAUGUUGGGUUAAGUCCCGCAACGAGCGCAACCCUUAUCCUUUGUUGCCAGCGGUCCGGCCGGGAACUCAAAGGAGACUGCCAGUGAUAAACUGGAGGAAGGUGGGGAUGACGUCAAGUCAUCAUGGCCCUUACGACCAGGGCUACACACGUGCUACAAUGGCGCAUACAAAGAGAAGCGACCUCGCGAGAGCAAGCGGACCUCAUAAAGUGCGUCGUAGUCCGGAUUGGAGUCUGCAACUCGACUCCAUGAAGUCGGAAUCGCUAGUAAUCGUGGAUCAGAAUGCCACGGUGAAUACGUUCCCGGGCCUUGUACACACCGCCCGUCACACCAUGGGAGUGGGUUGCAAAAGAAGUAGGUAGCUUAACCUUCGGGAGGGCGCUUACCACUUUGUGAUUCAUGACUGGGGUGAAGUCGUAACAAGGUAACCGUAGGGGAACCUGCGGUUGGAUCACCUCCUUACCUUAAAGAAGC